RNAcentral lists this ribosomal RNA (108 nucleotides) under Felis catus (domestic cat). The record is from RNAcentral. Lineage: Eukaryota; Metazoa; Chordata; Mammalia; Carnivora; Felidae.
GUCUACAGACGAACCACCCUGAACGCGCCCGAUCUCAUCUUAUCUCGGAAGCUAAGCAGGGUUGGGGCUGGUUAGUACUUGGAUGGGAGAAUAAGAUUCUCUUAGAAU